AGUGAACGCUGGCGGUAGGCCUAACACAUGCAAGUCGAACGGCAGCACAGUAAGAGCUUGCUCUUACGGGUGGCGAGUGGCGGACGGGUGAGGAAUACAUCGGAAUCUACUUUUUCGUGGGGGAUAACGUAGGGAAACUUACGCUAAUACCGCAUACGACCUACGGGUGAAAGCAGGGGAUCUUCGUACCUUGCGCGAUUGAAUGAGCCGAUGUCGGAUUAGCUAGUUGGCGGGGUAAAGGCCCACCAAGGCGACGAUCCGUAGCUGGUCUGAGAGGAUGAUCAGCCACACUGGAACUGAGACACGGUCAAGACUCCUACGGGAGGCAGCAGUGGGGAAUAUUGGACAAUGGGCGCAAGCCUGAUCAAGCCAUACCGCGUGGGUGAAGAAGGCCUUCGGGUUGUAAAGACCUUUUGUUGGGAAAGAAAAGCAGCAGGUUAAUACCCCGCUGUUCUGACGGUACCCAAAGAAUAAGCACCGGCUAACUUCGUG
This 492-nucleotide ribosomal RNA is filed under the name uncultured bacterium. RNAcentral describes it as "partial 16S ribosomal RNA". It matches the Rfam family "Bacterial small subunit ribosomal RNA", at positions 29 to 507 of the family's 1533-position model. The record is from RNAcentral.